GAUGAACGCUGGCGGCGUGCCUAAUACAUGCAAGUCGAGCGAACGGACGAGAAGCUUGCUUCUCUGAUGUUAGCGGCGGACGGGUGAGUAACACGUGGAUAACCUACCUAUAAGACUGGGAUAACUUCGGGAAACCGGAGCUAAUACCGGAUAAUAUUUUGAACCGCAUGGUUCAAAAGUAAAAGACGGUCUUGCUGUCACUUAUAGAUGGAUCCGCGCUGCAUUAGCUAGUUGGUAAGGUAACGGCUUACCAAGGCAACGAUGCAUAGCCGACCUGAGAGGGUGAUCGGCCACACUGGAACUGAGACACGGUCCAGACUCCUACGGGAGGCAGCAGUAGGGAAUCUUCCGCAAUGGGCGAACGCCUGACGGAGCAACGCCGCGUGAGUGAUGAAGGUCUUCGGAUCGUAAAACUCUGUUAUUAGGGAAGAACAUAUGUGUAAGUAACUGUGCACAUCCUGACGGUACCUAAUCAGAAAGCCACGGCUAACUACGUG
Molecule: ribosomal RNA, 497 nt
Filed under: uncultured bacterium
Lineage: Bacteria
Description: partial 16S ribosomal RNA
Rfam family: Bacterial small subunit ribosomal RNA
Source: RNAcentral